GUGGGCGUAGCUCAGCUGGUUAGAGCGCUAGACUGUGACUCUGGAGGCCGCGGGUUCGAACCCCGUCGCCCACCCCA
This 77-nucleotide transfer RNA is filed under the name bacterium. RNAcentral describes it as "tRNA-His". It matches the Rfam family "tRNA". From Rfam's summary of the family: Transfer RNA (tRNA) molecules are approximately 80 nucleotides in length. Their secondary structure includes four short double-helical elements and three loops (D, anti-codon, and T loops). Further hydrogen bonds mediate the characteristic L-shaped molecular structure. tRNAs have two regions of fundamental functional importance: the anti-codon, which is responsible for specific mRNA codon recognition, and the 3' end, to which the tRNAs corresponding amino acid is attached (by aminoacyl-tRNA synthetases). tRNAs cope with the degeneracy of the genetic code in two manners: having more than one tRNA (with a specific anti-codon) for a particular amino acid; and 'wobble' base-pairing, i.e. permitting non-standard base-pairing at the 3rd anti-codon position. The record is from RNAcentral.